RNAcentral lists this ribosomal RNA (674 nucleotides) under Pholcus nkoetye. RNAcentral describes it as "eukaryotic LSU rRNA". It matches the Rfam family "Eukaryotic large subunit ribosomal RNA", at positions 365 to 915 of the family's 3401-position model. Lineage: Eukaryota; Metazoa; Arthropoda; Arachnida; Araneae; Pholcidae. The record is from RNAcentral.
UGAAAAGAACUUUGAAGAGAGAGUUCAAGAGUGCGUGAAACUGCUCGGAGGUAAACGGGUGGGCCCUCGAAAGGUCUUGGCCUGAUGGUUCGGUCGGAGAGUCUUGAGCUCGAUGGUGCGACGGGAUUCCUCGACGGGACCUCUCCRCUUAGUGAUGCUCUCAGCUUNCCGGCGCAUUCCAUAMKGCGUGGACGUCGCAGCUGGUUGGUGGACAGCAAAGAGAGCGGGCGAUGGCAGGUGGCAGCCGAGUCUAUCGGCUGUGUCUGGCCAUAUUCGUUCGUGGCAUGAUCACCGACCGAGGAUACGUCUCUUUCUCGAGAUUUGCCGUGCUCUCGUCUGUGCGAGCGGGAUUUCCCGCGCAGAGUGUACGCGGCUGGCGAUGUCGGUUACCCACCCGACCCGUCUUGAAACACGGACCAAGGAGUCCAACAUGUGCGCGAGUCAGUGGGACUCGGACAAGCCCACGGGCAGAACGAAAGUGAUCGGUCGGGAUCCGCACUGCUCGCGGUGCGGCGCACCGACGGCCUGACGCCAUAACAGUUAGGCGUCGGGGCAAUAGCGUACACGUUGGGACCCGAAAGACGGUGAACUAUGCCCGGGUAGGAUGAAGCCGGGGGAAACUCCGGUGGAGGUCCGCAGCGGUUCUGACGUGCAAUUCGAUCGUCGAACCCGGG